Molecule: ribosomal RNA, 497 nt
Filed under: uncultured bacterium
Lineage: Bacteria
Description: partial 16S ribosomal RNA
Rfam family: Bacterial small subunit ribosomal RNA
Source: RNAcentral
GAUGAACGCUGGCGGCGUGCCUAAUACAUGCAAGUCGAGCGAACGGGCGAGAAGCUUGCUUCUCUGAUGUUAGCGGCGGACGGGUGAGUAACACGUGGAUAACCUACCUAUAAGACUGGGAUAACUUCGGGAAACCGGAGCUAAUACCGGAUAAUAUUAUGAACCGCAUGGUUCAAAAGUGAAAGACGGUCUUGCUGUCACUUAUAGAUGGAUCCGCGCUGCAUUAGCUAGUUGGUAAGGUAACGGCUUACCAAGGCAACGAUGCAUAGCCGACCUGAGAGGGUGAUCGGCCACACUGGAACUGAGACACGGUCCAGACUCCUACGGGAGGCAGCAGUAGGGAAUCUUCCGCAAUGGGCGAAAGCCUGACGGAGCAACGCCGCGUGAGUGAUGAAGGUCUUCGGAUCGUAAAACUCUGUUAUUAGGGAAGAACAUAUGUGUAAGUAACUGUGCACAUCUUGACGGUACCUAAUCAGAAAGCCACGGCUAACUACGUG